RNAcentral lists this transfer RNA (70 nucleotides) under Phlaeoba angustidorsis. RNAcentral's name for it is "tRNA-Arg". The record is from RNAcentral. Lineage: Eukaryota; Metazoa; Arthropoda; Insecta; Orthoptera; Acrididae.
GAAUGAGAAGCGAAUUAUUGCAUUCAGUUUCGACCUGAAAAUUGGUUAAUAAACUAUUUACCCUUAUUCU